RNAcentral lists this ribosomal RNA (441 nucleotides) under uncultured bacterium. Its description in RNAcentral is "partial 16S ribosomal RNA". It matches the Rfam family "Bacterial small subunit ribosomal RNA", at positions 338 to 795 of the family's 1533-position model. The record is from RNAcentral.
CCUACGGGUGGCAGCAGUGGGGAAUAUUGCACAAUGGGCGAAAGCCUGAUGCAGCAACGCCGCGUGAAUGAAGACGGUUUUCGGAUUGUAAACUUCUGUUCUUAGUGAAGAAUAAUGACGGUAACUAAGGAGCAAGCCACGGCUAACUACGUGCCAGCAGCCGCGGUAACACGUAGGUCGCAAGCGUUGUCCGGAAUGACUGGGUUUAAAGGGAGCGUAGGCGGGAAGCCAAGUCAGCUGUGAAAACUACGGGCUUAACCUGUAGACUGCAGUUGACACUGUCUUUCUUGAGUGAAGUAGAGGUUGGCGGAAUUCCGAGUGUAGCGGUGAAAGGCGUAGAUAUUCGGAGGAACACCGGUGGCGAAGGCGGCCAACUGGGCUUUAACUGACGCUGAGGCUCGAAAGUGUGGGGAGCAAACAGGAUUAGAUACCCCUGUAGUC